Molecule: long non-coding RNA, 1688 nt
Organism: Neopsephotus bourkii (Bourke's parrot)
Lineage: Eukaryota; Metazoa; Chordata; Aves; Psittaciformes; Psittacidae
Exons: 3
Source: RefSeq, a predicted model, not a curated record
CAAGUUAAUCUGAUCAGUAAUCUUUGCUCAGUGAGGAGUGUGCUGCUGGUCUUAUCUAGACUCCUUUUGAGAUUAGGCACAAGAGUGAAGAAUUGCAGGGCUUGGCAGUUUAUUUGCUGUUGAUCAUUCCCUGUUCAUAUUUUCCAUGUGUUUUAUGGGGGUAGGAUGAGUAUGCUCCAUUUCACAUGGCUGAGAUAAUAUUCCCCUGGAAUGGGGAAGACAUGGAUUAACCUAAAUGGGAAAGAAAUGCCAGCAAGAAUCCAAACCCACCAAAACCAAACCAAGCCUCUGGGGCUUUGGGGAGGGUCCUGGUGUUUGAGAGGUAAAAACCAGCUUCUCAUGAUUUCAUCAAGCCAUGGUUGCUGUCCUGCUGCCCUCACCCUAUACUGGUGGCCCCACUGAAAGCAAUGGCCCAGUUUAAGGGCUAGGACACUCCGGAUCAGCAGUACACUUCAAUAUGCACUCAACUGAAACAUCCAAACAAUCCCUUUGAAUUCGGUGGCUGCACUCACAGAGUUAAAAAUAAGCCUGCUGUUAAGUGCCUUCAUCAGCUCUAGGUCUAAUUAUUUACUUUACAUGAGUAGUUCCAGAGGAACUCGGGGCUUUGCUGUUUGGGUUAGGAAACAAGAAAAAUAGCCCACGCUUCUGGUUUACGCAGUGGCGAAAUGAAGCAUGCUUUUUUAAAACUAAUUGGUGUCUUCAAAAUUCUGGGGAGCAUUUUCACCUGGCAUCAACCAGCCCAGCUCUAGUGGGGCCCACAGAGAUGAAUGUCACCCGAAGCAGUGCUCUGAGAGACUACAGUCAUGAUUGCCAAUAGCCAACAUCCAGACUAAAAAUAAAAACCCUCAGCAUGGGACUGAGCGACAAGCAAUCCAUCCUCUGGCAAAAAUCACCCAUCACCUCACCCCUCCAGCCCUGUCUUCUUCAUGCUGAAAGAAGCAAUAUCUAACAGGAUCAUCAAGAGAUCAAGGUGGCUCAUUGAAAGCACUAGGUGAGCUGAUCUCUCCAUUUUGUGAAUGUCUGUGUUUAACAGCCAUCAGAUUUUGGCUGGUCAGUGCACACAGUGCAGGGAAAGAGAAGGUUUGUCAGUGGAAUAUUUAUUUGGCUCCUGGAGAAUUCUGGGGAGCUGUUACAAAAUCCCUAUUUUUGGCCCCAGAAAUAACACAUCACCUUUUUCUUUUCCCCUAUGCUUUCAACAGUCACCUUUUGCAGAGGUGGAUUAGGCUGAAAGGAUCCCACCUGCAGAAGGGAAGGAAACCUAAGGGAAACAUAUUCUGGGAGAGCCACAGUCCCUGCCUUACUUCCUCCUGGCUGUCACAGGAAUUGAGACCUCAGGGUUUGGCCUAGUCUAUGACUUUUUGCAUAUUACACCUGAGAUGGGCUGAAAUAUUUAUUUCCCCUUCUUUUUCAUUAGUAUUUAACACGCAAGGAGAAUCUGUCUAUUUGCCAGGCUGACCUUGCUCAGAAUGGGGUCUAGAGACCAGUGCUUUCCAUGCCACCAGUAGCGUAUACACUUGGGCUAAGCAGAAGUACUUCUGGCAGCUGAUCCACCAGUGUUAGGGCUGAUCCUGGCCCUGCAACCAAAGCUUUCCUGAGUUUUACAUGUGGUAACCUCACAAGAUGAAGACACUAAAAAAUAAUGUGGCACUCUACCCUUGUGACAAUACAUGAAAGGCCACAUCUUUGAA